GAGAGGCAGGCGCUCAGUCGGUGUAGAGUUGGGCUCGGACGGAAGUGAUGAGAGUGAAAAUACCCUGUGUGACAGACUUGAAGAAAUGGCAUCGGCAGGACAGUGAAUCCUGCUGAUUCACAAGAAGAGGAAUGUGUUCACUUCCUGAUGUGUGCGACUCCAUGAAGAUCACUUCCAUCAGAUGCUGUUACGGCCAAUUUUGAAGUGAAGAUGAAAGACUUCAGUUCCUCUGAUUAAUGAGGUGGUGGUAAUGCAAUAAAGCAGAUCCUCUCAGUUUAUGCUCCAGCUUAUACACACAGCGUGAUCAUGUAUAACAUAACCAGAGACAUGUUUGCCCUGUGGACAGUGGACUCAUUCUGCCACUGUCCUGUGUCAUUAUGUCCCUCUGCUGAGCGACCUGACCUCUGGGGUUUGAGCGAUGUCCCCAUCCUCGCCCGCCCCCCUCCCCCCACUCGUCUGACUGUCUGUCCUCCCUCCUCUACGCCCUGCCUCGUCUUGUCAGCUCGGCUCACAGUCACACUCCUGCUCGCCUCGGUGAACAUUCAACGCUGUCGGUGAGUUUUGGUAUGGAUCACAUAAAAACCAUCGACCGUUGACUGUGCCCCGAGGCCUGCUCUGACGACGACGACGACGGGAAUGAGCGAAAAAAAAAAAAAGAACAAAAGGGCAAAGUGGGCGCAUGCAAAACCCAGACACGAAGACACACACACAUGCACAAAAGUGACACUCUGUUUCCACUGUACCCAAAGACCAAAGGUCACAAUCAACAUUCAUUGCUGUCGCUGGGUUGGACUGUGUAGAAAAGCUCACUGAACAAUGAGUGCAACUGUGGCCCAGAUCUGCCUGACUCGCGUCUCAGCCAAUCAGCCGACCGGAUGUGAAACACUCUGAUUUCUUUAUUUAUAUACUUCUUGUUUUUCACUUCUAUUUUCUCCUCUCUUCCUCCCUCCCCGGCGCUGGAUAGUCUUCAGGGGAAGAGAGAAGGAGGGAGAGAGAUAGAGACACAAAUAGACUUCUGGCGGCUUGCUUGUCCUCAUCCUCCUCUCCUCUCCUCUAAUUGGUGGUUAUGUGUGCAGCAAGGGGGAAGGAAGCGGAGUGAAUGUGUAAUCAUUUGGAGUCUCUUCUCCUUUAGAUGUUUCAUCCCUCUCUUUUUUGUUUGUCUAAUUAUAUACCGAGCUCAGUUAACUCUGUGUUAACGGCGCUGGCAAGAAUGAGCGAGUGACAAAGAGAGGAAGGACAAGGGUGGGAGGGGGGCAAAAAAGGUGGAGAGAUUAUAGUGCCAGGAAAAUUAUUAUCUAGUUUUUAGCAGAUUUAUUCUAAUGUUCUCCCUGGUGGUGCUGCAAAUGUGCCAGGAUAUACGCAAUUUUCAAAUGCAGAAAGAAGAUUGUUUUCACCUUUCUGACUGAGGAUGUCUCAUUAUCUGUGUUUGAGCUUCAUGAGAGACUGUCUGGUUUCCUGCCUGCCUGCCUCUCUGUGUACGUGUGUGUGUGUGUGUGUGUGUGUGUGUGUGUGUGUGUGUGUGUGUGUGUGUGUGUG
Long non-coding RNA from Epinephelus fuscoguttatus (brown-marbled grouper), 1536 nucleotides. RefSeq lists it as uncharacterized. The record is from RefSeq and is a predicted model, not a curated record. Lineage: Eukaryota; Metazoa; Chordata; Actinopteri; Perciformes; Serranidae. The transcript has 3 exons.